GGCCGGACCACCUUUACCCGCUGCAUAUCGUGAUGGGGGCUGCUGGUGCGGACGCUAAGGCUAAGCAAAUCCACGACAGCUGGGACCUUGGUGCUGUUUCGUAUGCAGCCUACCAGUUUACAUCACCUUGAACUUGAGCUUGAGCUUGAUCUUGAACUACCAGUUGCCGCUGAUUAACUAUAUCUGUCAAAUAAAUUGCUGUUAUAUUAUGAAUUUCAUAAAAUAAUAUUAUGUUGUGAACGAAUUCAUUGAAUGUGUAUUAGUGAAUAUUGUAUUGUAUUCAAGACUAAUGAGAGAUUGUUUUCCUGUUUAA
This 313-nucleotide long non-coding RNA is filed under the name Malus domestica (apple). RNAcentral describes it as "long non-coding RNA (MDOM_LNC015564)". The record is from RNAcentral. Lineage: Eukaryota; Viridiplantae; Streptophyta; Magnoliopsida; Rosales; Rosaceae.